GCUCUGAGCUGUCAGCACAGAGCCCAACAUGGGGCUCAAACUCACGAACUGCGAGAGCAUGAUCUGAGCUUCAGUCGGACGCUCAGCUGACUGAGUCACCCAGGCGCCCCUGUUGGUUAUAUUUCUUUGAUUCCCUAUUCCAGCCUGAAGUGGUAUUCUGUUAGUCCUAACUCUUCAGCAUCAAUUCAACAAAUAUUUGGCACGUACCAAUUCUUUGUGCCCCUCUCUGUAAGGAACCAAUAAUCUCACUGGGGAUAAGAGAGAAAAAUGGGAAAUAUCUAUAAAACAAAAGAAGUCAUCAUGUCAGGAGCAUAAAUACAUUAAGCACCUACUAUAUACAAAGCUCUAAGUUUUUUUAAAUAAAAUAUAAAAGCAUCAAUCAUGAUGCCGAGAUGAGUCAAAAGCAGCCUUUCUAUGGGUUGACAGAGGGAGAUGGAUGGGGGAUGGGCUAGAUGGGUGAUGGGUACUAAGGAGCGUACCUGUUGUGAUGAGCACCGGGUGUUGUUAUGUAAGUAAUGAAUCACCAAAUUCUACUCCUGAAACUAAUAUUGUGGUAUGUUAACUAACUAAAAUUUAAAUUAAAAAAUGGAGGGGGGAAGCAGCCUUAAAUAUCAUCCUACCCAAGCCUGUCCCCCAUCUCAUUUUACAGAGGACAAAACUGAAGUCUAGAAAGGAGGUGUGGCUUGCCUAGUCUAGAGAACGCAGUUAAGGCAGAGGCGGAGUGGCAGCCCAGAUGCAAUACUCUUCCUUCUGCUCCCUGCACCCUUCCAAAACAAUCCAGAAAUUCAGAGAACAUAUCCCAAAUGUUCUUUGCAGGAGGGUGAACUAUCAAAUCUAUAAAAUUAAUUAACCAAUAGUUAAAACACAGAAUUAUGGGCCGAGAUGCUAAACUGCACUGGGAAGUACUAGUGCAGCCUGUGGUCAAAGAGGAGGUAGGACUUCACCUGGGGCGUCUCACUUACGGACGUGAACAUCUAGGGUGUUCCAUUUGUGGAAAGCUUUGGGAAGGCUUCCAACGAGGCCUCAGCAUGUGCAAAAUCAGUCAUGACUAAGACUGUCCCGAGGAUCCUGAGAAGGCCUAAUGCCUUACAGUUUGAAGGGACCUCAUCCAUGCCCUCAUUUUCACUUAUAACUGAGGAGGAAAACAAAACUCUCUUAAGUAUCACAGAAUUAACCAGUCCCUUAUCCAGACCUAAACCCAGGGUUCUUAGUCAAAAACAGCACAGAUAAGUAGAGAAUUCAUAAGCUUUCAGCUAGAUAUGCAUUUAAAAACUCACUUUGUCAAUGACUAUCUGCUUCUCUUAGUAAGAGGUGGGUCCAGGUGUUCUAUAACUUCUUUGACCAAUGGAUAUGGUGGAAAUGAUGCUCAGCCAUUUUCCAGGUCCAUACCUUAAAAGUGGCAGUUUCUACUUCCUGUAUCUUGGGACACUCACUCUUGGAUGCAGUCACCAUGUUAAGAGGAAACCCAAGCCACGUGAGGAGGCCACAAGUACGUGUUCUAACUGACAGUCUCAGAUGAAGUUCCAGACAACAGCCAGAACAAUACCAGACAUGUUUCACAGGUGAAGAAUCAAUGGAUAAAAGUAGGAGCGGCUCCUUUAAUGAUCUACAAGUGAAAUUUUUGCUUCUUAUUCUUGCAUCUUCAGACUCUGCUGGUCUAAAGGUCUUAGGUACCCAUCAUGUAAUGCUGCCUCUGGGGACAAAACAAUGUUUCCAUUAAACUGGAAGUCAAGACUUGCAUUCAGCCACUUGGAAUUUCUCAUGUCAACAAGCUAUGAAGAGAGUUACCAGGUGGGGUGAUUGAUCUUGACUAUCAAGAGGAAAUUGGGAUAUUCUUACACAAUCAGGAUAAGAAGGGAGAUGUCUGGAAGAAGAGAUGCUCUAGAGUGCCUCUUCUACCCCUAUGUCCUAUGAUUAAAGUCAAAUGGAAAACUACAACCCAAUACAGGCAAGAUGGCCAGUGACCCACACCCUUCAGGAAUAAACUCUGGAGUCAUCCACCAGGCACAGAAACAUAAGGAACCAACUUGCUUGUUGAGGGCAAUGGGAAUAUGGAAUGUAUGGUAAAUGGAAGUUAUAAAUAUCAGUUACCACUACAUGACCAGUUGCAGAAAUAAAGACUGAAAUGGU
Molecule: long non-coding RNA, 2130 nt
Organism: Felis catus (domestic cat)
Lineage: Eukaryota; Metazoa; Chordata; Mammalia; Carnivora; Felidae
Exons: 2
Source: RefSeq, a predicted model, not a curated record